This 253-nucleotide ribosomal RNA is filed under the name uncultured bacterium. Its description in RNAcentral is "partial 16S ribosomal RNA". It matches the Rfam family "Bacterial small subunit ribosomal RNA", at positions 524 to 776 of the family's 1533-position model. The record is from RNAcentral.
UACGGAGGGUGCGAGCGUUGUUCGGAAUCACUGGGCGUAAAGCGCGUGUAGGCGGCCCAUUAAGUCUGAUGUGAAAGCCCGGGGCUCACCCCCGGAAGUGCAUUGGAAACUGAUGGACUCGAGUCCCGGAGAGGAGAGUGGAAUUCCUGGUGUAGCGGUGAAAUGCGCAGAUAUCAGGAAGAACACCUAUGGCGAAGGCAGCUCUCUGGGACGGUACUGACGCUGAGACGCGAAAGCGUGGGGAGCGAACAGG